GAAAGAGUUCCUGAAACCGGUCGCAUGCAAGCCGUCAGAGCCUGUGUGGUGAUGGCGUGCCUUUUGAAGAAUGAGCCUGCGAGUUAGUGAUGCGUGGCGAGGUUAACCCGUGGUGGGGGAGUCGUAGCGAAAGCGAGUCCGAUAAGGGCGUGAGUCGCGUGUUCUAGACCCGAAGCGGUGUGAUCUAUCCAUGGCCAGGAUGAAGCGUCGGUAAGACGUCGUGGAGGUCCGAACCCACUUCAGUUGAAAAUGGAGGGGAUGAGUUGUGGAUAGGGGUGAAAGGCCAAUCAAACACCGUGAUAGCUGGUUCUCCCCGAAAUGCAUUUAGGUGCAGCGUUGCGUGGUUCUUGUUGGAGGUAGAGCACUGGAUGGUCUAGGGGGCUUAUCGGCUUACCGAAAUCAGCCAAACUCCGAAUGCUGGCAAGUGUAGCGUGGCAGUGAGACGGCGGGGGAUAAGCUUCGUCGUCGAGAGGGAAACAGCCCAGAUCAUCAGCUAAGGCCCCUAAGUGGUGACUCAGUGGGAAAGGAUGUGGAGUUGCGUAGACAACCAGGAGGUUGGCUUGGAAGCAGCCAUCCUUGAAAGAGUGCGUAAUAGCUCACUGGUCAAGUGAUUCCGCGCCGAUAAUGUAGCGGGGCUUAAGUUAUCCGCCGAAGCUGUGGCAACCUGUGUGGUUGGGUAGGGGAGCGUCGUGUCAGUGGUGAAGCUGCCGGGUGACUGUGUGGUGGAGUUGAUG
Molecule: ribosomal RNA, 734 nt
Filed under: Cutibacterium acnes
Lineage: Bacteria; Bacillati; Actinomycetota; Actinomycetes; Propionibacteriales; Propionibacteriaceae
Description: bacterial LSU rRNA
Rfam family: Bacterial large subunit ribosomal RNA
Source: RNAcentral